GGCUUUAUAGUGGAAAAAAGAUAUCAGAUUGCAAAUUUGAAGAUGCAUAUAAUAAUUGCUGAAGCUU
Molecule: transfer RNA, 67 nt
Filed under: Laurentaeglyphea neocaledonica
Lineage: Eukaryota; Metazoa; Arthropoda; Malacostraca; Decapoda; Glypheidae
Description: tRNA-Cys
Source: RNAcentral